CAAUGAUUAAAGACCUAUUGCCGAUGAAGCAGCAGAUAGGACUUGAAUCACUG
Non-coding RNA from Ciona intestinalis (vase tunicate), 53 nucleotides. The record is from Rfam. NCBI's taxonomy places the organism in Eukaryota, Metazoa, Chordata, Ascidiacea, Phlebobranchia, Cionidae.